Molecule: RNA transcript, 4277 nt
Organism: Sciurus carolinensis (gray squirrel)
Lineage: Eukaryota; Metazoa; Chordata; Mammalia; Rodentia; Sciuridae
Gene: Bbs12
Gene name: Bardet-Biedl syndrome 12
Exons: 3
Source: RefSeq, a predicted model, not a curated record
CAGUCUUCAAAAAGAGCUGCCACUCAUUUGGUUACACUAUAGAACUUUCAUACUGAUAACAAUCUAGGAAAAUAGAUACUCUUACAUCUACCAGAUUUAUUUAACGCUUUCCACAUGUUGCCUGCCAGCUACUGAGUUUGAAAGAGAUUGCAUGUAGAGUAUAAAAGAUGAUUAGUGCAUGAGAUAGACAGCAAUACAGGGGGCUGUGCCUGGGAUCACAGAAAGGACAGACUCCUCCAGCACUGGAGGAAGCUGUAUCCAAAAUGUGGCGUUUGCCUUGGGUCAUGAAGGCGAUACAGCAUUCAAGAUGGUGAAGAAAGGAUAGGAUAUUCAAGACAGAGAGUGAUAUGUACAAAGUGAAAAUGGGAUGUGCUCUGUGGCACAGUCAUGUGACUUUUAAGCAAAGGUGGAAGAGGGGUCUUAAAAAGUCUGAGUGUAGAUUUUAUAGCACAAUGUUAAGAAGACUUUAUUUUCCAAGAUAAGUAUUUCUUGGCAGUGGAAUACCUAAUUCUAUUUUUACUUUUUCAGGAUAAUUCUGAACCCUCUUUAGAAGAAAUUAAAGGAUCACAACUAAGGCAGUGCCAAAUAGAAAUCAGAUCAACUCCAAAGGUUGAUCAUGAAAGUUAUGUUCAUGCUGGAAGAAUACUAACAGUGGCAUCUUUUUUCUCUUGUUUCAGGUCCAUCUCUCACGGAGGCUGGAGGCCAGCAUGCACAGCAGGACAGCAUGGAUUGAGUGGGCACAGCGCCCAGUGAAGGCGCCGGAGACUCUCGCCGUCCCAGAAUCACCCCUUUGGCCUUCACCUCCAUUGUCUUUGCCCAGCCUCUUAGAAGGAAUUGAACCCAGGGCCUUGUGUAUGCUAGGCAAGCACUCUGACAACUGAGCUGUAAUCCCAGCCCAAAAACAGUCUUUUUAAGCUUGUCCUUUCAACAAAUCAUUCUGGAGCACCCGGAUAUUCAUGAGGGAAAAAACAACCAAUGUUUCACACCAUUUUCAAAAAUCAGUUUGAGAUGAAUUAUAAGAAUAAAUACAAAGAAAAAACAAAUUUGCAGCCCACGCUUCCUGACAUCAGAAUGUACUCCAAAGCUGCAGUUGUCAGUACCAUACUGGCAGUAAAUGAACAUGGGGCAGUGGAAUUGAAUUGAGAACCCAGAAAUAAACCCAUUUAUCUGUGGCCAGUUGGUUUUUGACUAAGGUGCAAAGGCUACUCAAUGGGGAAAAGAAUCUCUUCAACAAAUGGUGCCAGUUGGAUAUCUACAUGCAAAAGAUGAAGUUGGACCUCUGCUAACACCGUAUACAAAAAUUAACCCAAAAUUAACCCAAAAUUGAUCAACAAACUAUAAGAGAUGAAUUUAUAAAACUCUCUGAAAGAGAUGGUGGGGUGAAUAUAUGUGAUCUUGGAUUUGGCUGUGGAUAAAUAUGCACCUAGCACUUGAGCAACAGCAACAAAAAAUACAGACUUCAUCAAAACUCAAAACUUGUGUGUGUUAUCAACAAUGUAGAAAACAGUCUGCAGAUGGGAGUGUAUUUGCAAAUUGUAUACAGUGGUCUGUCAUCAUCUUUGGGGGAUUGGUCCCAGGACUCCCCUGUGAGUACCAAAGUCCACAGAUGUGUAAGUCCCUUAUCUAAAAUGGCAUAACAUUUGAAUAUAACCUACAUUCAUCCUCCCAUAUACUUUAAAUCACCUCUGGGAUUACUUAUAUCUAAUAAAAUGUAAAUGUCACGUAAAUAGCUGUUACGAGGCAUUUUUAAGGAAAGCAACAAGAAAAGUACUUGUUCACUCAUUGAAUUGUCUUCCCAUGUAUUUUCCAUCCACAGUUGGAUCCAUCAUGCAGAGCCCACUGAUUCAGUGUUGACUAUUGUUUGAUAAGGGUCUAGUAUCCAGAAUACUCUUAUAACUCAACAACAAGAAAAGGAAGAGCUAACUUCUUAAAUGGGUGAAAUAUUUGGAUAAACAUUUCUCCAUUAAGAUGUAUAAGUGGAAGCUGGGUGCAGUGGAUACUUUGUAAACCCAGUGACUCUCAGGAGACUGAGGCAGGAGAAUGGCAAGUUCAAGCCCAGCUUUUGCAACUUAAUGAAACCCUGCCUCAAGAUAAAAACUAAAAAGGACUGGGAGUAUAACUCCAUGAUAGAGUGCCCCUGGGUUCAAUCCCCAGUACUGGGGGAAAGAAAAACUACAAGUGCCCAAAAAGCACAUGAAAAGAUGCCCCAUCAUCAUUCAUCACUGGGAAAGUGCAGGUCAAAAAGCCCAGUGAGACAUCUGUAUCACUGGAAUGUCUAAUUUUACUAAAACAAAACCAGAAAGUAUUGUUGAGUGUCCUGUUGAUUGAAUAGUAUGCACGCACACUUCGUGUCCUUUCAGAAUUCCAGAAUGUGAUGUUAUUUGAGAGUAGAGAAAUCACUGAAGAUGAGGUCAGACUGGAUUGGGAUGGGCCCUAAGCCCAACAACUGGUGUCAUGAUUGUAGAAAGGUCAUUUGAAACAGGCAGAGAUUAGAGGUGCCAGGAGUAACUAGAAGCUGGGAAAGAGUCUUCCCUAGGGGUUGACUCACUGCCCUGCCAGCAUCUCAGUUUUGGAUUCUUGCCUCCAGAACCAUGAGAACAUAAAUGGGUAGUUUUGAGCCUCCCAGUGCUUUGUGAUAAUUUGAUAGGGCAGCCCCAGAAAACUAAUACCCUUGUACAUUGCUGGUAUGAUGUUCUGCUAUGGAAAAUGGUUUGGUGUUUCCUUAAAGUACCUGCUGGUUCACUCAUAGGUUUAUACCUAGAAGAAUUGAAAAGGGUUAUUCAUACACACACCUGCACGUGAGUGUUCAUAGCAGCGCAAUUCCUAGUAGCCAAAAGAUGGAAAGAACUCAAAUGUGCAUUCUUGGAGGAGUGGAUAUGCAAAAUGUGAUUGCUCAGAGGAAGGUCACUCAACAAUGAAAAAGGAAUAAACACUGAUACAUACUAUAGUGUGGAUGAGCCUCAGAAAUAUGCUAAGUGAGAAGCACAUAUUUUAUGAUUCUGUUUAUUAUAAAGUGUUGAGAAUGGAAAAGCCAUGGAGACUGAAAGCAGACUGGUGAUUGGCAGGAGCUGUGAGAGAAUGGAGCAGAGGGACUGCUUCACAGCUAUAGGGUUUCUUUGGGGAUGAAAUGUUUUGAAACUAAUAGUUGUACAGCACUGCAGAAGUAUUAAAUGCCAGUUGUACACUUUGAAAUGGUUCAGUUUGUGUUAAAUGAAUUUCAGCUCAAUUUAAAACCAUAAAGCUUUCAGAGGAAAUAUAGAAAAAUAAAUUUUCUACUUAGACAAAACCUUUCUUAAAUAAAACAGAGAAAGCAGAAACCAUUAAAAAAAAAAAAAAGAUAAACAGACUAGGGAAAUAUAUUGUGAGGCAUUUUUAAGACCACUUGAGGUUUGGGGCCAUGAACCUAAAAUAACACCUGUGAGCAUGGUCGUGUGUGUGAGCUGCACCAGGGCAGGUGUGGUGUGGACAGAGUUAGAUUUCUUCCAGAUUAGUAGCUUUACAAGGUAAGUAAGAUGAAAUGAAAGAGGGGCAAGGAUUUAAGAACAUUGUGCAAGGGAGCGACUGUAAUAAUGACGAGUGGAAUUUAAACCAGGCAAGUGGUGAACCGAUAUUAUUGGAGCAGGAGGUAAGACAGCAAGACCUGGUAAGGUGAGGUCAUUGUGGGGCAGGAUGGACCUCAGGAUGGUUGAAGUUGAGCCCUAGGGUCUAUUCUGACACAUUAUGAUGCUAUCUGGUAAUACACCUAAGUGUAUCAUAAAUCGCUGUUACAUAGAAUUGAAAAUUCAUGAAAGGGGCCUUGAAAGUGAAUCCAGGCUGUUCGAAGCUGUUCCAUUCCUCCUCGGUCCUGAGAAGCUCGCAGGAAGCUGCUUUUGAGUGGCCUCAGAGUGGUGCUCCUCCGUUUCAAGGAUGAGUUAGGGAGUGCAGGAUAGGAAUGCCAGUGCUGUGGCCAGUGUGGGAGGAAAGGCAGGAUCUCAGUUGUUUGCUUUUCAGUAUUUGAGAUUAAAAGAUUGUGAUUAAAAAGUAGUAUUCAAAAUAUCAUAAAUUCUUAGAGCAAAGGGCAAGUUUGGUAUUUUCUCUGAACUUGGCUUCCAAGCUUUAAGUCACUGGGGAUCAUGCCUCCCAGUACAGUAGUUUUAUAGAUGGCUUCUCAGGGAGUACUUUAAGAGUUCUAUUUAUUGGGCUAAAGUCAUUCUCUUGUAGCUUCCUAUUAAUUCAUUUUGGGUGCAAAUUCCAGAAUAUUACGUAGAGUCAGUUGCUUCCUUUUUUUUUUUGUACUG